GACGAACGCUGGCGGCGUGCCUAACACAUGCAAGUGGAGCGACGAACCAGGCUUCGGCCUGGGGCAAAGCCGCGAACGGGUGAGUAACACGUGGGUAACCUGCCCUGAUGAUUGGGACAACCCGAGGAAACUCGGGCUAAUACCAAAUGUGCCCUUCGGCCAUAAGGCCGCCGGGGAAAGGAAGCUUCGGCCUCCGCAUCUGGAUGGGCCCGCGGCCCAUUAGCUUGUUGGUGAGGUAACGGCUCACCAAGGCGACGAUGGGUAGCUGGUCUGAGAGGACGAUCAGCCACACUGGGACUGAGACACGACCCAGACUCCUACGGGAGGCAGCAGUGGGGAAUCUUGCGCAAUGCGCGAAAGCGUGACGCAGCAACGCCGCGUGGGGGAAGAAGGCCU
Molecule: ribosomal RNA, 396 nt
Filed under: uncultured bacterium
Lineage: Bacteria
Description: bacterial SSU rRNA
Rfam family: Bacterial small subunit ribosomal RNA
Source: RNAcentral